Capsicum annuum is the source of this 1070-nucleotide long non-coding RNA. RefSeq lists it as uncharacterized. The transcript is spliced from 2 exons. The record is from RefSeq and is a predicted model, not a curated record. NCBI's taxonomy places the organism in Eukaryota, Viridiplantae, Streptophyta, Magnoliopsida, Solanales, Solanaceae.
UUGGGUAGCUAAUCUCAUUAUAUACAGCCAUUUAGGAGCUCCUUUGUUGUUCAAUAUGAGUUUACUCCACCGUACUUUUGGAAAGUCACCCUGUAGUCUCUUAUACACAGCUCUAAUAUACAAUCUGCCAGCCUGUAUCAUAUCUUGCUCACAGUAGCCAGCCCUUUCCAUUCCAAUUCUUGUCCUUAAAGAAUUUCCACAAAUCCAGUCCUUAAGAAUCUCCUACAGUAUAAACACUUAAGCCCAAUGAACUGGAUAGUUUUCUUUGGCAGUAUAUACACCUGUGCCCAAAAAGUCUGUAUUGUGAACAGUACACUUCUGAGCGAUUUGGUCCUUCCAGCAUAUGUUAGGAACCUUGCUGUCCGCGAAGUCAUCUUCCCAAGCAUUUUCUCUAUAAGUGUCUCACAUUGAAGUGCAGUUAGCCUCUUUGUACUCUAAGGGACCCCUAUAUACCUGAAAGGCAGUUUCUCCCUUAGAAUAUCCCAACAUAUCGAGUAUUUGUUGCUGUACUGGUGGUGCAGUUCCCCCAAAAUAGAUAGAACUUUUCUCUAAGUUAGCAAUGGGACGACGCAGCUGAAUAUCUUUGGAAUCUCUCCUGUAAUACAGUAAUAGAUUUUGAAUCAUCCCUGCAAUAAAGUAGCAGAUCAUCAGCAAAGCCUAAAAGUAGCCUCUGGUCUUAUUUUUUGUCGAUUCAUAUUUUCAUAUUUCUGUGCAGACAUUGUUCUAAAGGACAAGAUUGUUGUUUAUGAUCUGGCUAGACAACGGAUUGGAUGGGCCAGUUACAAUUGUUCUAAGGCCGUCAAGGUUUCAGCUACCACGAGCAACGCCAAUGUUGCCAGCAUUAAUGUUUGGCAUUUACUACUUGUUCUUGUAAUAAACUAUAGUGUUGCAGUUUCUAGGUGUUCUCUUUCACAGUAGUAGCCUCUUAAGGCAAUUUCCUAGCUCCACUUAUUGUAAAUUCAUGUAGUGAUUAAUUGCCUUUGUAAAUUAGAUUUUGAACACCUGUGUAUAACAAUAUUCUCCAUAGUUGCAUUUGAUUUUGAAUGAAAAUUUUGUUAAACGCUUCCCAA